This 72-nucleotide transfer RNA is filed under the name Peromyscus leucopus (white-footed mouse). RNAcentral describes it as "tRNA-Val". Lineage: Eukaryota; Metazoa; Chordata; Mammalia; Rodentia; Cricetidae. The record is from RNAcentral.
CACAGCGUAGCUUAAAUCACAUAAAGCAUCUGGCCUACACCCAGAAGAUUCCCAACACAACGGACGCUUUGA